CCUAGAGAAGUUUGUCUGCAUCAUGUACAACACCACGUGUUCCCGGGUCAAUGAUGCCAGGUACCAGCUGUUUUGCACAAGGAGUCUGCAAUCCAACCAACUGCCACCCUGCAAUGACGCCCUUCUAAAGCACUGCUGCCGCUCCAAUUACCAAGCUGGUAUUUGGAAGCGAUGCCUCUUGUCACAUGUGGAUGCACCAUCACCGAAUGAGAAAGAACAAGGCUGGCACCUAGAAAGCAAUGGGACAUUGGCAGUUGACUGGUUAAGCCUGCCACCUGCUCCAAAGUCAAUCCUAGAGUUCCUCCGGUGCGGGUGCAAAACUGGUUGCAGCAGUGGCAACUGUUCGUGCCGCCGGCAUAUGCUGUUGUGUACAGAUGCUUGCACCUGUCGGCACCACUCUUCAGUAGUAUGCACAAACUACCCAGAGCAGCAUGCAGCAUUGCCUACGACCCAACACAUCUCACCUGAAACUGAUUUGGUCUGCAGUGACACAGCUCAUGACUGAUAGCAGCCAGCCAACCGUAAGGAUUCGGGACUGACAAACUUGU
Sycon ciliatum is the source of this 548-nucleotide long non-coding RNA. RefSeq lists it as uncharacterized. NCBI's taxonomy places the organism in Eukaryota, Metazoa, Porifera, Calcarea, Leucosolenida, Sycettidae. The record is from RefSeq and is a predicted model, not a curated record. The transcript is spliced from 3 exons.